GCUUUACCCUCGACCAACGCCUACGCGGUCUCGGUUUGGACAUACUUCCUUGCACCUUGCUAUUGAAACUGGUAAUGCUGAUUUUAUCAAAUUAUUAAUAACUAAAGGAAAGGCUGAUGUGAAUGCUGUGGAUA
Molecule: long non-coding RNA, 134 nt
Organism: Amphimedon queenslandica
Lineage: Eukaryota; Metazoa; Porifera; Demospongiae; Haplosclerida; Niphatidae
Exons: 2
Source: RefSeq, a predicted model, not a curated record